UGGGGAAUUGUUCGCAAUGGGCGCAAGCCUGACGACGCAAUGCCGCGUGGAGGAUGAAGACUUUCGGGUCGUAAACUCCUUUCGACCGAGAUGAACGUCCAUCGGUUUAAUACACCGGUGGAGUGACAGUAUCGAGGGAAGAAGCCCCGGCUAACUCCGUGCCAGCAGCCGCGGUAAUACGGGGGGGGCGAGCGUUGUUCGGAAUUACUGGGCGUAAAGGGUUUGUAGGUGGCCUACCAAGUCAGACGUGAAAUCCCCCGGCUCAACCGGGGAACUGCGUCUGAAACUGGUGGGCUUGAGUGCAGGAGAGGAACGCGGAAUUCCAGGUGUAGCGGUGAAAUGCGUAGAUAUCUGGAGGAACACCGGUGGCGAAGGCGGCGUUCUGGACUGUUACUGACACUGAGGAACGAAAGCCAGGGGAGCAA
Molecule: ribosomal RNA, 425 nt
Filed under: uncultured bacterium
Lineage: Bacteria
Description: bacterial SSU rRNA
Rfam family: Bacterial small subunit ribosomal RNA
Source: RNAcentral